This 964-nucleotide long non-coding RNA is filed under the name Homo sapiens (human). RNAcentral's name for it is "novel transcript". The record is from RNAcentral. Lineage: Eukaryota; Metazoa; Chordata; Mammalia; Primates; Hominidae.
GCGUGGUUCGCAGCCACGCGGGCUCCGGGCAAUUGCGCUUUAGUCUGGGUGGACAGCUUCGCCGGAGCUGAGAGCCCGCGACCUGCCGGACCAGGGCUGGGCCGCGGGUCAAUGAUCCAGGAAAUCCCGUCACUCGCGUGCCUGUGGCUGAAGCGCGGCAGCUUGUCUUGUCCGUUUCGUGUCAGUUUCAGGGCUGAGUGGCAGCGUCUGGACUUUGCGGACGCCGAGGGCUCAGAUGCUGGGCUCUGGGGAGGGAGAGGGCGCCGGCCGGCCUGUCCCUCUCCGGGGAUUUGCAGGUACCACCUGUCGGCUUUGUUUCAUCAUCAGGAGCCCCUUUGCCCAGAAAUCCCGAUCGUCUACACCCAGGUCUCUACUGAUCAGAGAUUGAGAGUGAGUCAACAGGAGUCCAACACGUGACCCCCAUAAGUCUACCCUCUUUUCCCCCAAUACUUGUAGAUACCACCCAGUAACACCCGUGUGUGCUAAAAAUCCUAUUCUGGGAGUUCUUCGGCAGUUUAAAUCGCCCAUGAAUUACUCAUAUUUUCUCAAUCCACCGUGAGCCUGGCACAUUUCUUUUCAGUAAUUGAUUGGGAAAGUGCAAGCCAUUGGUGACCUUUAGAAGUUUUAAAUGUUUAUAACGAAAGGGCUAAGGACAGAGGAGAUUACCCACACUUAAGUAUUUUGCACCUUAAAAAUGCUAGCAAAAAUAUGAAUUUAUAUUCCUUCAGGGAGAAGAUUUCGUCUGAGGACGUAGGCCGAACCUUGUGUUUUAUAUGUCAUAUGAAUUACGCUCUGAAACUAAAAUAUGAAAUAGAUUCCAUAAUUAAGCCCUUUGGAAUAUCAGCCUCAUCUGAAUUAUUUCUAAGGAUAUUUUUGCCUUUUUUGGUUUAUUAAAAACUUCCUUUUGGGGAAACUUGUAUAGAUUUUCUGCACUUAGGCAAAAUAAAGCAUUUUAUUCAAAAUA